Molecule: non-coding RNA, 119 nt
Filed under: Eubacterium sp.
Lineage: Bacteria; Bacillati; Bacillota; Clostridia; Eubacteriales; Eubacteriaceae
Also listed under: 1 other name
Description: FMN sequence
Rfam family: FMN riboswitch aptamer (RFN element)
About the family: The RFN element is a highly conserved domain that is found frequently in the 5'-untranslated regions of prokaryotic mRNAs that encode for flavin mononucleotide (FMN) biosynthesis and transport proteins. This element is a metabolite-dependent riboswitch that directly binds FMN in the absence of proteins.
Source: RNAcentral
AAAAAUCUUUGGGGAAUGGUGUAAAUCCAUACCGGCAGUUAUAGUCUGCGAACGCCUUCGGGCGCCGAUGAGGUGAAACUCCUCAACCGACGGUACAGUCCGGAUGAGAAAAGAUUUGC